RNAcentral lists this ribosomal RNA (425 nucleotides) under uncultured bacterium. Its description in RNAcentral is "partial 16S ribosomal RNA". It matches the Rfam family "Bacterial small subunit ribosomal RNA", at positions 354 to 796 of the family's 1533-position model. The record is from RNAcentral.
GUGGGGAAUAUUGGACAAUGGGCGCAAGCCUGAUCCAGCCAUGCCGCGUGAGUGAUGAAGGCCUUAGGGUUGUAAAGCUCUUUUGUCCGGGAAGAUAAUGACUGUACCGGAAGAAUAAGCCCCGGCUAACUUCGUGCCAGCAGCCGCGGUAAUACGAAGGGGGCUAGCGUUGUUCGGAAUCACUGGGCGUAAAGCGCACGUAGGCGGACCAUUAAGUCAGGGGUGAAAGCCUGGAGCUCAACUCCAGAACUGCCUUUGAUACUGAUGGUCUCGAGUUCGGAAGAGGUUGGUGGAACUGCGAGUGUAGAGGUGAAAUUCGUAGAUAUUCGCAAGAACACCAGUGGCGAAGGCGGCCAACUGGUCCGAUACUGACGCUGAGGUGCGAAAGCGUGGGGAGCAAACAGGAUUAGAUACCCGUGUAGUCC